Molecule: ribosomal RNA, 1449 nt
Filed under: uncultured bacterium
Lineage: Bacteria
Description: bacterial SSU rRNA
Rfam family: Bacterial small subunit ribosomal RNA
Source: RNAcentral
GAUUGAACGCUGGCGGCAUGCCUUACACAUGCAAGUCGAACGGCAGCACGGACUUCGGUCUGGUGGCGAGUGGCGAACGGGUGAGUAAUAUAUCGGAACAUACCCAGUAGUGGGGGAUAACUAUCCGAAAGGAUAGCUAAUACCGCAUACGAUCUGUGGAUGAAAGCAGGGGAUCUUCGGACCUUGUGCUAUUGGAAUGGCCGAUAUCUGAUUAGCUAGUUGGUAGGGUAAAAGCCUACCAAGGCGACGAUCAGUAGCUGGUCUGAGAGGACGACCAGCCACACUGGAACUGAGACACGGUCCAGACUCCUACGGGAGGCAGCAGUGGGGAAUUUUGGACAAUGGGGGCAACCCUGAUCCAGCAAUGCCGCGUGAGUGAAGAAGGCCCUCGGGUUGUAAAGCUCUUUUGUCAGGGAAGAAACGGAGUUCUCUAAUAUAGGAUUCUAAUGACGGUACCUGAAGAAUAAGCACCGGCUAACUACGUGCCAGCAGCCGCGGUAAUACGUAGGGUGCAAGCGUUAAUCGGAAUUACUGGGCGUAAAGCGUGCGCAGGCGGUUUUGUAAGUCUGAUGUGAAAUCCCCGGGCUCAACCUGGGAACUGCAUUGGAGACUGCAAGCUAGAGUGUGUCAGAGGGGGGUAGAAUUCCACGUGUAGCAGUGAAAUGCGUAGAGAUGUGGAGGAUACCGAUGGCGAGCAGGCCCCUGGGAUACACUGACGCUCAUGCACGAAAGCCGUGGGGAGCAAACAGGAUUAGAUACCCUGGUAGUCCACGCCCUAAACGAUGUCUACUAGUUGUCGGGACUUAAUUGUCUUGGUAACGCAGCUAACGCGUGAAGUAGACCGCCUGGGGAGUACGGUCGCAAGAUUAAAACUCAAAGGAAUUGACGGGGACCCGCACAAGCGGUGGAUGAUGUGGAUUAAUUCGAUGCAACGCGAAAAACCUUACCUACCCUUGACAUGGCAGGAAUCCCGAAGAGAUUUGGGAGUGCUCGCAAGAGAACCUGCACACAGGUGCUGCAUGGCUGUCGUCAGCUCGUGUCGUGAGAUGUUGGGUUAAGUCCCGCAACGAGCGCAACCCUUGUCAUUAGUUGCUACGAAAGGGCACUCUAAUGAGACUGCCGGUGACAAACCGGAGGAAGGUGGGGAUGACGUCAAGUCCUCAUGGCCCUUAUGGGUAGGGCUUCACACGUCAUACAAUGGUACAUACAGAGGGCCGCCAACCCGCGAGGGGGAGCUAAUCCCAGAAAGUGUAUCGUAGUCCGGAUUGUAGUCUGCAACUCGACUACAUGAAGUUGGAAUCGCUAGUAAUCGCGGAUCAGCAUGUCGCGGUGAAUACGUUCCCGGGUCUUGUACACACCGCCCGUCACACCAUGGGAGCGGGUUCUGCCAGAAGUAGGUAGCUUAACCGCAAGGAGGGCGCUUACCACGGCAGGGUUCGUGACUGGGGU